AGAGUUUGAUUAUGGCUCAGGAUGAACGCUAGCGGCAGGCUUAAUACAUGCAAGUCGAACGGUAACAGGUGUAGCAAUACAUGCUGACGAGUGGCAGACGGGUGAGGAACACGUACACAACCUCCCUCUUACUGGGGCACAACUCCGAGAAAUCGGGGCUAAUUCCCCAUAAAAUCUUAGAGUGGCAUCACUUAAAGAUUAAAACUCCGGUGGUAAGAGAUGGGUGUGCGUCUGAUUAGCUAGUUGGUAGGGUAACGGCCUACCAAGGCAACGAUCAGUAACUGGUGUGAGAGCACGACCAGUCACACGGGCACUGAGAUACGGGCCCGACUCCUACGGGAGGCAGCAGUGGGGAAUUUUGGACAAUGGGGGCAACCCUGAUCCAGCCAUUCCGCGUGAGUGAAGAAGGCCUUCGGGUUGUAAACCGCUUUUAGCCGGAAAGAAAAGGCCGCUCCUAAUACGGGCGGUUCUUGACGGUACCGGCGGAAUAAGCACCGGCUAACUACGUGCCAGCCGCCGCGGUAA
RNAcentral lists this ribosomal RNA (525 nucleotides) under uncultured Chitinophagaceae bacterium. Its description in RNAcentral is "bacterial SSU rRNA". It matches the Rfam family "Bacterial small subunit ribosomal RNA", at positions 8 to 523 of the family's 1533-position model. Lineage: Bacteria; Pseudomonadati; Bacteroidota; Chitinophagia; Chitinophagales; Chitinophagaceae. The record is from RNAcentral.